UGUUUUUUUUUUUUUUUCGACAAGUCAGCCGUCUCCCACCAAGGCAGGGUGACCCAAAAAGAAAGAAAAUCCCCAAAAAGAAAAUACUUUCAUCAUCAUUCAACACUUUCACCUUACUCAUAUAUAAUCACUGUUUUUGCAGAGGUGCUCGGAUACAUCAGUUUAGAAGUAUAUAUAAAGAUAUACAGUGGUACCUCAGGAUACGAACUUAUUUCGUUUCAGAAGGCUGUUCGAGUGCUGAUACCAAAUGAAUUUGUUCUCAUAAGGAAUAAUGUAAAAGAUUAAUCCAUUUUAGACCCCCAAAAAUACACUUACAAAAGCACUUGCAUAAUUGUUCCCGUUUUGAGCUAUUCGUAUCCCGAGGUACCACUGUAGAACAUAUCCCUCCAAACUGCCAAUAUCCCAAACCCCUCCUUUAAAGUGCAGGCAUUGUACUUCCCAUUUCCAGGACUCGAGUCUGGCUAAAUCUAUAAUGACCAGUUUCCCUGAAUCCCUUCACUAAAUGUUACCCUGCUCACACUCCAACAGCUAGUCAGGUCCCAAAAAGCAUUCGUCUCCAUUUACUCCUAUCUAACACGCUCGCACACACUUGCUGGAAGUUCAAGCCCCUUGCCCACAAAACCUCCUAUUUCCCCCUCCCUCCAACUUUUUCGAGGACGACCCCUACCCCCUCCUUCCUUCCCCUACAGAUUUAUGCGCUCUCCAAGUCAUUCUACUUUGACCCAUUCUCUCUAAAUGACCAAACCACCUCAACAACCCCUCUUCAGCCCUCUGACUAAUACUUUUAGUAACUCCACACCUUCUAAUUUUCACACUCCAAAUUCUCUGCAUAAUAUUUACACCACACCUUGCCCUUAGACAGGACAUCUCCACUGCCUCCAGCCGCUUCCUCGCUGCAGUAUUUACAACCGAAGCUUCACACCCAUAUAAGAGUGUUGGUACCACUAUACUUUCAUACAUUCCCUUCUUUGCCUUCAUAGAUAACGUUUUUUGUCUCCACAGACAUAGAUAACGUUUUUUUGUUUUCCACAGAUACCCCAACGCACCACUCACCUUUUUUUCUUUAUCAAUUCUAACCUCAUCCUUCAUAAACUCAUCCACUGACAAGUCAUCUCCCAAAUAUCUGAAAACAUUCACUUCUCCAUACUCCCUCUCCAAUGUGAUAUCCAAUUUUUCUUUAAAGCAUUUGAUACCCUCAUCACCUUACUCUUAUCUAUGUUCACUUUCAACUUUCUACCUUUACACGCCCAAACUCGUCCACUAACCUUGCAACUUUUCUUUAGAAUCUCCCAUAAGCACAGUAUCAUCAGCAAAAAGUAACUGUGUCAACUCCCAUUUUGUAUUUGAUUCCCCAUAAUUUAAUCCCACCCCUCUCCCCAACACCCUAGCAUUUACUUCUUUUACAACCCCAUCUAUAAAUAUAUUAAACAACCAUGGUGGCAUUACAGUAACAUCCCUGUGUAAGACCCACUUUUACCGGGAAGUAAUCCCCUCUCUUCUACACACCCUAACUUGAGCCUCACUACCCUCAUAAAAACUCUUCACAGCAUUCCAUAUACUUGCAACAUCUGCCACAUUGCUUCCCUAUCCACUCUAUCAUAUGCCUUUUCCAAAUCCAUAAUGCAAUGAAAACUUCCCUACCUCUAAAUACUGUUAACAUAUAUGCUUCAAUGUAAACACUUGAUCUACACAUUCCCUACCCACUCGAAAGCCUCCUUGCUCAUCUGCAAUCCUACUCUCUGUCUUACCUCUAAUUAUUUCGAUAAUAACCCUACUGUACACUUUUCCUGGUAUACUCGGUAAACUUAUUCCCCUAUAAUUUUUACAGUCUCUUUUGUCCCCCUUUCCUUUAUGUAAAGGAACUACACAUGCUCUCUGCCAAUCCCUAGGUACCUUCCCCUCUUUCAUACAUUUAUUAAACAAAAAUGCCAACCACUCCAAUACUAUAUACCCCUCUGCUUUUAACAUUUCAGUCAUAAUUACUUUCAGAAAAAAAUUCUCUGCCAUUGCAUAAUAUAUUUUUUAAGCACUACUGUAUGAGCCCUUUUAAUUUGGGGGCUAUGACAGUAAAAUGGUUAAGAUUAUAGUAUGUGCUUAAUGUUUUAAAAUAUAAUCUUCUAUGUAAAAUAAGUAUGUUUCUUAUAGGACAGUUUGUGAGUUUUUUCUAAACAAUAUUACUGAUUACACUGCAAUAGUUUUAUUGUUUGUCUCUAUGAAUUAAGGCAGACUAACUUUCAGGGAAAUUGGCAGUAGUGGUGGUGGCAGCAGUAGCAGUGGUAGUGGUUCUACUGGUGGUGGUAGUGUUGGCGGUAGCAGCGGUGGUGGUGGAGGUGGUGGUGGUGGCAUCUUUGGUAACGCCAGGCCUGUGGAUACAGCUGCUCGGGAACGCCAGAUUGAAGAAAAACUACGAAAAUUGGAUGGAGUAAAAGAUGAACCUCGUCGAUUUGAACGUCGUGACGAUAGAAGAGAGGAGGCGCGGGAAGACCGCCGAGACUUCCGGAGAGAGAACUACAAUAGUGACACUCAGAACGACCGGCAGGUUGAUCAAAGGGAUGGUAGAAUGGUAAG
Non-coding RNA from Cherax quadricarinatus, 2568 nucleotides. Lineage: Eukaryota; Metazoa; Arthropoda; Malacostraca; Decapoda; Parastacidae. The record is from RefSeq and is a predicted model, not a curated record.